This 247-nucleotide unclassified non-coding RNA is filed under the name Whalleya sp. RNAcentral's name for it is "partial contains 5.8S ribosomal RNA, internal transcribed spacer 2, and large subunit ribosomal RNA". Lineage: Eukaryota; Fungi; Ascomycota; Sordariomycetes; Xylariales; Xylariaceae. The record is from RNAcentral.
CGCACAUUGCGCCCAUUAGUAUUCUAGUGGGCAUGCCUGUUCGAGCGUCAUUUCGACCCUUAAGCCUCUGUUGCUUAGUGUUGGAACUCUACGGUUACAGCGUAGUUUCCGUAAGCUAGUUGGCGGAGUUAGCGUAUACUCUCAGCGUAGUAAAUUAUUCUCGCUCUUGUAGUUAUGCUAGCUAUAGCCAUUAAACCCUUUUUUAAAGGUUGACCUCGGAUCAGGUAGGAAUACCCGCUGAACUUAA